This 2276-nucleotide long non-coding RNA is filed under the name Lynx pardinus (Iberian lynx). Lineage: Eukaryota; Metazoa; Chordata; Mammalia; Carnivora; Felidae. The record is from RNAcentral.
GCCAGGGAAGGAUCUCUGAGCACAUGGCUUUUCGCAUUUGGACCCUAUGAUUAGCGCUGCGCUAAGCAGGGGAGGCAGUAUUUUCCAGAAGGAGGGGCUCCUGUCCCGGGCAGACAAACAAUGGGCCCACUCCCCCGGUGUUCUGAGCUCUUCCUCACCCCCAGGCUGAGGACUCAGGCCCUCACUGCCUCCCCUCCGCCUCUCCCGGGCCAGGGGGUCCCCUCAGAACCCACUGUUUUAUUGCUUAAAAAUCCAUAAGAGAUGGGGGUUUUCUCAGCUAAGUUUUUUGCGGGGGGGCGGAAUACACGUCUGGGGCGGGAGCUGUACGAUUUUCUGAGGAGACGGCCUCGGAGGAUCUAAGCAACGAGUGAAGGAACAACAAAGGGACCCUUCUCAGAAGCAUGGCAAAAAUGAAACCAAAUAAAAACCCCAUAAAAAUCCCUACUGGGGCAGAGGAAAUACCAGCGUGAUGCUUUUGAGCCACAUCUUCAGUAAUAAAGGAAAGAUUCAAGGAUCGGCCGUUCUGACGGGAUUAUGUUUGGGCUUGAGGGAGAAUGUGCUGGAAAACAAUGAAAGGGAGUCAUCCAAGCAAGGGAGGUCUGUUGGUGCGUGCAUUUGUAUGUGUGUUGUUGCAAUUCAGGAACUGACCGAUGACCAGGGUCAUGGGGAGUCUGAGAGAGACACCCGACAGGAACCGGUUCAAAGUUUGUGCCCAGCCUGGGGAGAUCAGAUGACCGGCAGCUGGCCUGCCCCCUGCCGGCUCCCAUUGAUGUCGGAGGGGCUCUGACCCCCGUUUGGUCACAGAAAUACCCGUUUGGAAAUCUCUUUGAAGGCUGAUUAAGUAAACGCUCUCGCGGCACCGACAGUAACAACCGAGUGACGUAGUCGAAGUGCUCGUGGUAAGUGGAGGAAUCUCUGGCUGCCAAGCUGACAGGCAACUCGCCUUUCUGUUCCUCUAACUUGGCCUCCCUGCUUCCGGUCGCAGUGUCGGGCACAGUGUUUCGAGGGGACGGGGCUGAGGAUGUGGAGACUCUCACUGUCAUCGCGCGGGUGGGACAGGGCCCCAGGGACGGAGCGUGGUCCUGCCGCACAGCAGCUGGCCGCGGCCAGUGACCGGUAGUCCUCCCGGCACGGCUAACCUUUGAUGUUGCUCGUGGGGUCCUUCCAUCUGGUUUGUGGCCUCAGGCUGCUGUGACCCCCAGCGGGGGUGUCUCCCCGGGCCUCCCGGGGCCCGGCAGGGUGAGCGUGAAGGAAAAGUCUGGUUUUCAUCCGGGAGCGUGGAGCCCCUCUCUGCGUGACGGCUCUGCUCGCGGCCUGGCCAACUGGACGAGAGCUGCCGGACGGGGGAGUGGGGGCCCCUUCGUCACUUUACUGCCCUCGUUAUCUUGGAGACCCCGUUGUCGUUGGGGGUGGGGGGGGAGCGGGCUGCCAGCCCUGGACCCAGCUAUGCCUCCGUACCCGGCAGUGUUGACGUCCGUUCAUUCACUUCAUCCGUCACGGAUCCAUCCACUUACCCAUUCAUCCGGGGCUGUCGUUCAGUCAUUCGGUGACUAUGUGACCAGGUCUCCUUAUCUUUUAUCUUUGCUGCCUGGCACAGGGCCAAGCUUGUAGGAGGGACUCCACACACGUUCGCUGACUUCUCUUCCUGCUUCACCUCUGUUAUGGUUCACGGUCUACGUUCACGUCCAUGAUGUUGAAGUGCUAAUCCCCAGGACCCUGGAAUGUGACUGUGUUUGGAGAUAGGGUCUUUAAAGGGGUAGUUACGUUAAAAUGAGGUCAUUUUAAGUGAAAAUGAGGCCCUGAAGCAAUCCUUUUAAAAAAAAUUUCUUUUAAUGUUUAUUUUUGAGAAAGAGAGAGACAGAGCAUGAGCAGGGGAGGGGCAGAGAGAGGGGAAGACACAGAAUCCGAAGCGGGCUCCAGGCUCUGAGCUGUCAGCACAGAGCCCAACGUGGGGCUCAAACUCGUGAACCGAGAGAUCAUGACCUGAGCCGAAGUCGGACGCUCAACUGACUGAGCCACCCAGGCACCCCCAAACCAAUCCUUAUAGGAAGAGGAGUUCGCAACCCAGGCACAUACAAGGGGAAGAUGAUGUGAAGACACAGGGGGGAAGACAGCCAUCGACAAGCCAAGGAGAGAAGCCUGGGACCGAUCCUUCGUCCAAGAAGGAGCCAACCCUGUCGACACCUUGGUCUUGCACUUCCAGCCUCCAGAGCUGUGGGGAAAUAAAUUUCUGUUGUUUAAGCUGUCCCAGUUUAUGGUGCUUUUUUAUGGCCACC